RNAcentral lists this ribosomal RNA (301 nucleotides) under uncultured bacterium. RNAcentral describes it as "partial 16S ribosomal RNA". It matches the Rfam family "Bacterial small subunit ribosomal RNA", at positions 509 to 808 of the family's 1533-position model. The record is from RNAcentral.
CAGUCGCCGCGGGAAUACGUAGGUCCCGAGCGUUAUCCGGAGUGACUGGGCGUAAAGAGUUGCGUAGGCGGUCAAGUUAGCGAGCGAUGAAAACUAUCGGCUCAACCGAUAGCUUGUCGUUCGAACUGCUUGACUCGAGAGUAUCAGAGGUCGCUGGAAUUCCUAGUGUAGCAGUGAAAUGCGUAGAGAUUAGGAGGAACACCAGUGGCGAAGGCGGCUUUUUGGCCUGUAACUGACACUGAGGCGCGAAAGCGUGGGGAGCAAACAGGAUUAGAUACCCCAGUAGUCCCUGUCUCUUAUU